RNAcentral lists this ribosomal RNA (420 nucleotides) under uncultured bacterium. RNAcentral's name for it is "bacterial SSU rRNA". It matches the Rfam family "Bacterial small subunit ribosomal RNA", at positions 356 to 773 of the family's 1533-position model. The record is from RNAcentral.
GAGGAAUAUUGGUCAAUGGACGGAAGUCUGAACCAGCCAAGUAGCGUGCAGGAUGACGGCCCUAUGGGUUGUAAACUGCUUUUAUGCGGGGGUAAAGUGAGUGACGUGUCAUUCAUUGCAAGUACCGCAAGAAUAAGGACCGGCUAAUUCCGUGCCAGCAGCCGCGGUAAUACGGAAGGUCCUGGUGUUAUCCGGAUUUAUUGGGUUUAAAGGGAGCGUAGGCCGUCAGGCAAGCGUGUUGUGAAAUGUCGUGGCUCAACCAUGGACUUGCAGCGCGAACUGCCCGACUUGAGUGCGCAGAAAGCAGGCGGAAUUUGUGGUGUAGCGGUGAAAUGCUUAGAUAUCACGAAGAACCCCGAUUGCGAAGGCAGCCUGCUGUAGCGCUACUGACGCUGAAGCUCGAAAGUGCGGGUAUCGAAC